This 586-nucleotide ribosomal RNA is filed under the name uncultured bacterium. Its description in RNAcentral is "partial 16S ribosomal RNA". It matches the Rfam family "Bacterial small subunit ribosomal RNA", at positions 355 to 937 of the family's 1533-position model. The record is from RNAcentral.
UGGGGAAUUUUGGACAAUGGGCGAAAGCCUGAUCCAGCAAUGCCGCGUGUGUGAAGAAGGCCUUCGGGUUGUAAAGCACUUUUGUCCGGAAAGAAAUCCUCUGGGUUAAUACCUCGGGGGGAUGACGGUACCGGAAGAAUAAGCACCGGCUAACUACGUGCCAGCAGCCGCGGUAAUACGUAGGGUGCAAGCGUUAAUCGGAAUUACUGGGCGUAAAGCGUGCGCAGGCGGUUUUGUAAGACGGAUGUGAAAUCCCCGGGCUUAACCUGGGAACUGCAUUCGUGACUGCAAGGCUAGAGUAUGGCAGAGGGGGGUAGAAUUCCACGUGUAGCAGUGAAAUGCGUAGAGAUGUGGAGGAAUACCGAUGGCGAAGGCAGCCCCCUGGGCCAAUACUGACGCUCAUGCACGAAAGCGUGGGGAGCAAAACAGGAUUAGGAUACCCUGGUAGUCCACGCCCUAAACGAUGUCAACUAGUUGUUGGGGAUUCAUUUCCUUAGUAACGUAGCUAACGCGUGAAGUUGACCGCCUGGGGAGUACGGUCGCAAGAUUAAAACUCAAAUGAAUUGACGGGGUCAUAGCUGUUUCC